GUUAUUUUGGCAGAUUAGUGCAAUGGAUUUAGAAUCUAAAUAUAUAGGAAUAUCUAUAAAUAACA
Molecule: transfer RNA, 65 nt
Filed under: Cryptocephalus sp. CRY01
Lineage: Eukaryota; Metazoa; Arthropoda; Insecta; Coleoptera; Chrysomelidae
Description: tRNA-Leu
Rfam family: tRNA
About the family: Transfer RNA (tRNA) molecules are approximately 80 nucleotides in length. Their secondary structure includes four short double-helical elements and three loops (D, anti-codon, and T loops).
Source: RNAcentral